RNAcentral lists this long non-coding RNA (4769 nucleotides) under Sus scrofa (pig). Its description in RNAcentral is "lncRNA (ENSSSCG00000060909.1)". The record is from RNAcentral. Lineage: Eukaryota; Metazoa; Chordata; Mammalia; Artiodactyla; Suidae.
UUUUUUUUUUUUUUUUUUUUUUUUUUGUCUUUUUGCUAUUUCUUGGGCCGCUCGCGUGGCAUAUGGAGGUUCCCAGGUUAGGGGUCCAAUCAGAGCUGUAACCACUGGCCUACGCCAGAGCCACAGCAACUCGGGAUCCGAGCCGCAUCUGCGACCUACGUCACAGCUCAUGGCAACGCCGGAUCGUUAACCCACUGAGCAAGGGCAGGGACUGAACCCGCAGCCUCACGGUUCCUAGUCGGAUUCGUUAACCACUGCGCCACGAAGGGAACUCCAGUCUUUUUAAAAAUAUAAAGAGGAGUUCCCAUUGUGUCUCAGUGGUUAACGAAAUCCAACUAGGAUCCAUGAGGUUGCAAGUUCAAUGGCCUUGCUCAGAGGGUUGGGGAUCCGGCAUUGCCAUGGGCUGUGGUGUAGGUCACAGACAUGGCUCGGAAUCCACGCUGCUGUGGCUGUGGAAUAGGCUGGCGGCUACAGCUCCGAUUCAACCCCUAGCCUGGGCACCUCCAUAUGCUGCAGGUGCAGCCCUAGAAAAAGACAAAAAGACUCAAAAUAAAUAAAUAAAUAAAACUCCCUACAAACAAAAGCCCAGGACCAGAUGACUUGAGAGGUGAAUUCUAACAAACAUACAAAGAACUUGUUACCCAUCCUUCUCAAACUCUUAAAAGAGUGACAAGGAGGGAACAUGUCCAAAGACAUUCUAUGAAGCCACCAUUACUAAUACCAAAAUCAAAGAUACCAUCAAAAAAGAAAAGUAUAGGCCAAUAUGUAUGAUGAAUAGAGAUGCAAAAAAGUCUUAACAUUCUAGCAAACUGAAUCGCACAACACAUUAAAAAUAUACACCACAACCAAGUAGGAUUCAUCCUAAGUUCAGAAGGAUGUCAACACACACAAAAUCAGUGUAAUACACCAUGUUAACAAAAGAAAAGUCAGAAACCAUAUGAUCUUCUCAAUAGAUGCAGAAAAAGCAUUUGACAAAAUUCAACAUCCAUUUAUGAUUAAAAACUCUUACUGAAGUGUGUAUAGAGGGAACAUAUCUCAACAUAAAAGCUAUUUAUGACAAACCCACAGCCAAUAUAAUCCUCAAUGGAGAAAAGCUGAAAGCCUUCCUGCUAAAAUCUGGAACAAGACAAGGAUGCCCACUCUCAUCAUUUUUGUUCAACACAGUAUCAGAAGUCCUUGGCCACAGCAAUCAGGAAAAAUAAAAGUACCCAAAUUGGAAAGGAAGAGGUACAACUCAUUAUAUGCAGAUGACAUACUAUAUAUAGAAAACCCUUAGGGAUUCCACACGGAACUACUAGAUCUCAUAAAGAAAUUCCGUAAAGUAGCAGGAUACAAGAUUAACAUUCAGAAAUCAGUUGUGAGGGAUCUGGACCAAGAAGGCAGAGGAGGAAGACAUGGGGCUCCAUCUUCUCCCACAAACACAUUAAAAAACAAAAAAUCCAACCAUCUAAAUGUAGAAUGAUUAACACAGAACAUCUAGUGAGCCCUGGCAGAAGACCAUAAACCUCCAAAAAGGGCAAGAUACCCUCCCAUUACUGGGUAGAACAAAAGGGGAUAAAAAGAGAAAGGAAUCAGGGACCAGCAUUGCUAAGAGGGAGCUGUGACAGAGGAAAGGAACCCACUCUCUGGGAAGCCACGUAACUGAUGCGAAGAUCAGUUGAGAUGAAGGGAAAAGCACAGCAGCUGGUCUGAGGAGGGCAAAGCAGAGAGAAAGCUGCAAAGACUAUUGGUACCACCGGCCCUGGACACCGCAGCCUGAGACGCAGGCAGGACCUAGGCGCUGAGACUCAGGCUCCAGAGGUCAGUUCCAGGAGAGGCCUAGGGUUGACAGUGUGGAGACAGCCUGAGGGAGCUAGGGAGAGGUGCGCCAAAGGCUGGGGAUCAGUGCACCACAGUUGAGGGAAGCUGGGAUGAGGUCUGGGCCCACAGGAGAAGCAAGGCACCAUUGCUGGGGAGGCCAAGAGGAAGUGGGGCGGGCCACCAUAGGAAUAUCUAUCUCUGCACAGGCAGCAAGGGUGGGCCUGUGGGUGGCGAAGUGCCUCUUAGGGUUAGGGGCGAUGGCUCUUCCUGUUCUGGCUACAGGGGGUGGUGCCUCCUGUGCGGGCUAAGUGAUGGGGCACAUCUUGCAUGGCCUACAGGUGGCAGGGGCAAACCGCCACAGUUAUCUCUGACUCCAGAGGUGGGCGUGGCCCCAGGAGUCCGUGAACAGACACUACCAACGGCCCCCCAUCACCUCCCGAUAUCAGCACAGAGUAUCUCUCGCGGCUCUCAUUCCCCUGGGAACGCACACACCCUGCUGCUACCACUGCCAAAUGCUCUGGUCGCCACCUAAACCUGCCUGUCACUGCCACUUCCCAGGGCCCUGCAACUAGGAGCAGCUGGCACCACCUUCCAGUGGGUCCUUGCUACCUUUGAGGGCCCAGCAACCAGUGCUGGCUACUAGCCCUGUCCAUUGCCUCCAUCUCCCUGGAAGCACAUGCAACAAACACCCUAUCAAGGGGAUAACAGCCUGCACACACUGAGGAAAGACAGCAACAUUCACACCAAAAGCAGCCGUCACACCAAAAAUAAAUUGGAAGCCCUCACAAAAUAUCCAGAGCGUGCUCUUGCAUAAAAACAGACCUCCAAGAUGACAGUAGAUGGUUUCCCUAAACUCACAGAAUGAGAAAAAUACAAGCAAAAUGAAGAACCUCAGGAACCAUUCCCAGUUAAAAGAACAGCAGAAUUCACCUGAAGGAGCAAACAAUGCAACAGACCUCUGCAGCUAACAGACACUGAGUUCAAAAGGGAGAGAGUGAAAAUACUGAAGGAAUUAAGGGCAAAUAUGAAGGAGUUAAGAGAGGAUAUGAACAGUAAUGCGGAUUCCUUUAGAAAGGAACUAGGACAUACAAGGAGGAACCAAGAAAAAGUAGAAAAUUUAUUUGCAGAGAUGCAAAUUGAGUUAAAGAGCAGAAUGAAUAAUGCAGAGGAACAAAUAAGUGACUUGGAAGAUAGAAUAAUGGAAAUCAACCAAUCACGACAGCAGACAGAAAACCAAAUGAAAAAACAUGAAUGUAAUAUAAUAAAUGGGAUAAUAUAAAGCAGGCCAAUCUAUGCAUAAUAGGGUUUCCAGAAGGAAAAGAGCAAGAAAAGGUGAUUGAAAAUAGAUUUGAAGAAAUUAUGGCUGAAAACUUUCCAAAUCUAAAGGAAACAUAUCAAGAUACAGGAAGCACAGAGGGCCCUAGACCAAUUGAACCCUAACAAGCCCACACCAUGACAUGUAAUAAAAAUAGCAAGUUAAAGAGAGACUUCUAAAGGCAGAAAGAGGAAAUCAAAGACUUAAUUAUAAGGGAACCCCCUUAAGGCUAUCAGCUGAUUUCUCUACAGAAAUGCUACAGGCCAGAAGAGAGUGGCAAGAUAUAUUUGAUGUUCUAAAAGGGAAAAAUUCGGGAGUUGCCAUUGUGAUGCAGUGGUAAUGAGCCUGACUGGGAACCAUGAGGUUGUGGGUUCGAUCCUUGGCCUCGUUCAGUGGGUUGAGGAUAUGGCAUUGCUGUGAGCUGUGGUGUAGGUCGCAGAUGCAGCUUGCAUCCCGUGUUGCUGUGGCUGUGGCAAAGGCCAGCAGCUGUAGCUCUGAUUCCAGGGUUCCCUACCCUGCGAACGUCCACAUGCCGUGGGUGCAGCCCUAAAAAGCAAAAUAAAUAAAUAAAAUAAAAGGGAAAAAUUUGCAGCCUAUAAUACUCUACCUGGCAAAAAUAUCAUUUAAAGUAAAAGGAGAAAAAAAGAAUUUCUCCAACGAACAAAAAUUGAAAGAGUACAAGCAAUAUUAAACCCAUUCUAAAAGAAAUACCAAAAGGGCUGCUCUAAAUUAAAAAAAAGUAAGAAAAAAUAGGAUAAAGGAAAUCACAAUUGGAAAGUAAUCACUUAAGCCAUUGUACAGAACUAAAAGAAAAUUUAAAAAACUAUUGUAAAAGUGACAACAAACACAGGAACAGCAAAAGGAUAAACAUGAAGAUGUUAAAAAAAGGACAUCAAAAUCCUAAAAUUUGGGAACCAAAGUAAGUAAAUCUAGACAAUUUUCUAAAAUGUGUUUGAGCCUAUAUGACUAUCAGUUAAAAAAAGCAGAUAUAGGAAGGGGUCAAGACACUUGAAAAACAGGGCAACCACAAAUCAAAACUAAACAAUAUAUUCACAAAAACUAAAAAGAAGAGGAUACAAGCAUAAAACAAAAGGAAAUCAUCCAAUCAAAAAAGAAAGGAACAAAGAAACAGAGUCAACUGGAAAGCAAAGUUUAAAAUAGCAAUAAAUACAUAUUUAUCAAUAAUUAGCGCAAGUGUCAAUGGACCGAAUGCUCCAAUCAAAACACAUAGAGUGGCAGACUGGAUAGAAACAGCAAGGGACUCUUCCCUACAAGAGACUCACCUUAGUGUAGAGGAUACAUAUAAAUUGAAAGUGAGGGGAUGAAAAAAGAUAUUUCAUACAAAUGGAAAAUACAGGAAAGCAGGACUUCAAUACUCAUAUCAGACCAAAGAGACUUUAAAACAAAGGCCAUAAAGAAAGACAAAGAAGGGAGUUUCCGUCGUGGCUCAGUGGUUAAUAAAUCUAACUAGGAACCAUGAGGUUUCGGGUUCGAUCCCUGGCCUCAUUCAGUGGGUUAAGAUCUGGCGUUGCUGUGAGCUGUGGUGUACAUUGCAAACGUGGCUCAGGUCUGUCAUUGCUCUGGCUCUGAUGUAGGCUGGUGGCUACAGCUCCAACUGAACCCCUAACCUGGAAACCUCCAUAUGCCACAGGUG